Molecule: ribosomal RNA, 409 nt
Filed under: uncultured bacterium
Lineage: Bacteria
Description: bacterial SSU rRNA
Rfam family: Bacterial small subunit ribosomal RNA
Source: RNAcentral
GUUAGGAAUAUUGGGCAAUGGAGGGAACUCUGACCCAGCAACGCCGCGUGAAGGAAGAAGGUUUUCGGAUUGUAAACUUCUGAUCUAUGGGAAGAAGAAAGUGACGGUACCAUAGGAGAAAGCCACGGCUAACUACGUGCCAGCAGCCGCGGUAAUACGUAGGUGGCGAGCGUUGUCCGGAAUGACUGGGCGUAAAGGGAGCGUAGGUGGUUAUUUAAGUUAGAUGUGAAAGCCCAGGGCUCAACUCUGGAAUUGCAUUUAAAACUGGAUAACUAGAGUGCAGGAGGGGUGAACGGAAUUUCUAGUGUAGCGGUGAAAUGCGUAGAUAUUAGGAAGAACACCGGAGGCGAAGGCGGUUCACUGGACUGCAACUGACACUGAGGCUCGAAAGCGUGGGGAGCAAACAGGA